AGGCGCUCGGUGCGGUUGCGCUGCACGAUGCGCUGCCGCCGGCUCUGCUGGCAGAAGCCGUAGAGGAAGGCGGUGAGCUGCGCGCACGACUCGUCGGGGCCCCGGAAGCGCCGGUCCACGAUGUAGAUGCCUGCGGGGGCCCCCGCCGCCGUCAGCGCCCCCCCCCCGCUGCUGCGAGCGCCCUCCCGGCCCCCCAUGCCUGCACCCAGGGGCCCAGGCGUCCGGGGAACCCCCUUGAGGGGCCCAGGUGUCCGGGGAACCCACCCAAGGGGCCCAGGCGUCCGGGGACCCACCCGAGGGGCCCAGGUGUCCGGAGGACCCAGGUGUCCGGGGAGCCCCCCUCCAAGGGGCCCAGGUGUCUGGGGGACCCCUGAGGGGCCCAGGUGUCCAGGGGAGCCCUGAGGGGCCCAGGUGUCCGGCGAACCCACCCAAGGGGCCCAGGCAUCCGGGGAACCCCCCAAGGGGCCCAGGCAUCCGGGGGAGCCACAAGGGACCCAGGUGUCCGGGGGACCCACCCAAGGGGCCCAGGCGUCCGGGGAACCCCCCAAGGGGCCCAGGCGUCCAAGGGAGCCACAAGGGAGCCAGGUGUCCAGGGAACCCACCCGAGGGGCCCAGGCAUCCGGGGGACCCACCCCGGGGGCCCAGGUGUCCAGGGGACUCAGGCAUCAGGGAAACCCCCCCUCCAAGGGACCCAGGCGUCCGGGGAGCCACUGGGGGGGGCCCAGGCAUCCAGGGAAGCCACAAGGGACCCAGGUGUCCAGGGGACCCAGGUGUCCGGGAAGCCCCCCCUCCAAGGGAGCCAGGUGUCCAGGGAACCCCCAAGGGGCCCAGGCAUCCGGGGAAGCCACAAGGGGCCCAGGCAUCCGGGGAAGCCACAAGGGACCCAGGUAUCCGGGGGACCCAGGCGUCCGGGAAACCCCCCUCCGAGGGACCCAGGUAUCCGGGGGGCCCAGGUGUCCAGGGAGCCGCCAGGGGGGCCCAGGCGUCCGGGAAACCCCCCUCCGAGGGACCCAGGCGUCCAGGGGGCCCAGGCGUCCGGGGGGCCCAGGCGUCCGGGGCUCACCGUAGGCCGAGGGGUCGGCGAU
This 1085-nucleotide long non-coding RNA is filed under the name Apteryx haastii (Great spotted kiwi). RNAcentral describes it as "lncRNA (ENSAHAG00000007185.1)". Lineage: Eukaryota; Metazoa; Chordata; Aves; Apterygiformes; Apterygidae. The record is from RNAcentral.